GGAGGCAGCCGCGGGCGGGUGGCGGAGCGGCGGCGGCACCAUGAGCAGCGGCGCCGCCGAGCGGGAGGGCCCCGCCGAGCCGGGCCUGCCCGAGGAGGAGGUGAGGACCCUGUUUGUCAGCGGCCUGCCCCUGGACAUCAAGCCCCGCGAGCUCUACCUGCUCUUCAGGCCCUUCAAGGGCUACGAGGGGUCGCUUAUCAAGCUCACCUCCAAGCAGCCCGUGGGGUUCGUGAGCUUCGACAGCCGCUCAGAGGCUGAGGCCGCCAAGAAUGCACUGAACGGCAUCCGCUUCGACCCUGAGAUCCCCCAGACGCUGCGGCUGGAGUUUGCCAAGGCCAACACCAAGAUGGCCAAGAGCAAGCUGGUGGGCACCCCCAACCCCAGCACGCCCCUUCCCAACACCGUACCUCAGUUCAUCGCCAGGGAGCCCUAUGAGCUCACAGUGCCUGCACUUUACCCCGGCAGCCCUGAAGUGUGGGGGCCGUACCCUCUGUACCCAGCGGAGCUGGCGCCUGCUCUACCUCCUCCUGCGUUCACAUACCCUGCUUCGCUGCAUGCCCAGAUGCGCUGGCUCCCUCCCUCCGAGGCUGGGUCUCAGGGCUGGAAGUCCCGUCAGUUCUGCUGAAUGCUGUGUCUCGGGUGUGUGAUGGCGGCCGACGGUCAGUCUUGUGGGUAUGAACAGAGCCCCCCGGCGGCUGCUGGGCACGCACGCUCUCCGCAGAACCACAGUGUGCUGGCUAGGAAGAAACCUCACACAAGUCUGGAUUCCUCCAAGACUUUCCCACAGCCUCUAUCACACAUCUGUUCUCCUAGAAGAAAGCGAGAAGCAUACCCAGUAUAAUAUUUCCCUCUUUUACACUGUAUAUUUGUAAGAAAGAGCGUGUUACUGCUGAAAGCAUGGUUUGACAGGCACUGCUGUAGCGUUUGAAAAGUAUUUUCAAACACCCCUAGGAAAGCAGACUGCAAAAAAAAAAAAAAAGCAAAGCGAGAGCAAGUAUUUUUGUACCAAACUUCUGAACAGGACAAUCUCACACUGGGCUGGAUGACAGUUUUUGUGCUCAACCUCCCAGCAGCAUGCCCUUAGCAGCCUGCCCCCCCCAUCCACGGGCCACACACCAAAGGCCAGGACAUACGCUGCCUCAGCAGAGUCUGUGGUGCUCACAGUGCUCUGGCGACAUCAGCAUCGCCUCUGCACCCCAAUGCACUGCCAGCAUUGGGGUUCCCUUCCUGGCUGCAGCACGCGGCGCUAGCCACGACAGGCAGCUUUCUUACCUUGGCACGAUGUUAACGGCUUGCUGCACAGCUCCGGCAAGGUGUGAUGCUCACAUCAGGGAUGGGCAGAGACAGCCCACACAUGUAGCAAGGUGAGAAUUCACCUUCUCCUGCCACGGCUGCUCCAAGAUGUUAAGGGCGGCAACGCAGACUGCUGUGCAAGGAGCUGGACUUUCUGAUCCCUGCCAACUCCGGGCCGUGGGACUGGGAUACGCACCCACUGCUGCAGGGCUCUGCUGCAGCUUCAGCACCCGGUGAUGCCAGUCUGGCUGCAGAGCAUGUCCGUGCGGAGCAGAGCCCAAGGGAGGCCGCUGGUUGCACAGGGUGGGAUGGAUCCAGCACAGGGACUGCAUGCUGGCGUCCUCUUUGCACCGGGAGGAACUGGCAUGAGGAAGAGUAAAGCAAAGCAAAAAAAAGAGAAAAAAAAAAACCAUCAACCCAUUUGUUUCUUCAAAAAGGAGGUGCCAACCCCAUCUCUAUUAAUCGCCUGAGCAGAACUUCCAGCCUCUCGCCCUCCUCCAUUUUCUGCUUUGGCCACAAGCAGCAGGGAACAGGGCUGCCAGAGCUGCCCAGGUGGGGGCAAGAAGGGGGUGCCACAGGGCCACCAGCAUGCAGCAGGGUGGGCAGCGGUGCCUCGAGCAAGGUAGCUCUGCAGGGACAGCACAGCGCUCCCAGCAAUGGACUAUUGUAGCAAACUGUUUCCUGUGUUUUGUUCUGUUUUGGUGGAGAGGAAAGGAGCUUCCAUGUUGUCUUCUCCGCUUUUGGAAAUAUGUUUAAAGGUACUUUUCUAUUGUAAUUUUUUAAAAAUAAAGCCAGUGAUUAUUGUAAGUUA
Molecule: RNA transcript, 2104 nt
Organism: Gallus gallus (chicken)
Lineage: Eukaryota; Metazoa; Chordata; Aves; Galliformes; Phasianidae
Gene: RBPMS
Gene name: RNA binding protein, mRNA processing factor
Exons: 9
Source: RefSeq, a predicted model, not a curated record